UGGGGAAUAUUGGACAAUGGGCGCAAGCCUGAUCCAGCAAUGCCGCGUGUGUGAAGAAGGCCUUCGGGUUGUAAAGCACUUUAAGCAGGGAAGAAAAACUCGGUCUAAUACAUCGAGUCUUGACGGUACCUGAAGAAUAAGCACCGGCUAACUCUGUGCCAGCAGCCGCGGUAAUACAGAGGGUGCUAGCGUUAAUCGGAUUUACGGGCGUAAAGCGUGUGUAGGUGGUUGUUCAAGUCAGUUGUGAAAUCCCUGGGCUUAACCUGGGAACUGCUUCUGAGACUGAACGACUAGAGUACGGUAGAGGGUGGUGGAAUUUCCGGUGUAGCGGUGAAAUGCGUAGAUAUCGGAAGGAACAUCAAUGGCGAAGGCAGCCACCUGGGCCUGUACUGACACUGAGACACGAAAGCGUGGGGAUCAAACAGGAUUAGAUACCCUGGUAGUCCACGCCGUAAACGAUGAGAACUUGACGUCGGUUUGCUCUGCAAGUCGGUGUCGUAGCUAACGCGAUAAGUUCUCCGCCUGGGGAGUACGG
RNAcentral lists this ribosomal RNA (535 nucleotides) under uncultured bacterium. Its description in RNAcentral is "partial 16S ribosomal RNA". It matches the Rfam family "Bacterial small subunit ribosomal RNA", at positions 355 to 885 of the family's 1533-position model. The record is from RNAcentral.